GGCGUCUCUAGCCCCGGGGCAGCCGACGGUGCUGGCUGGCGGCAGCCAAGGCGUGCUGCGUUGGCCCAGAGGCUGGCAGACGCACCCGGCAGGCGCUGGGCCCAGCCACAUGAAAGGCAGAGCGCUCCACCCGCCAGCUGCCUUUAGCUGGGUUCUGACGCCGCCGCCAUGCACCCUAGGACCGGGCCAUCUUGAUGAAGGGCCGCCUUCCUCCUCAGGCAUAGGGAUCGGGCUGUCCUUAAGGAGCUCCAGCCCCGGGGCCGGGUGGCCCACGAGUGGGAGCACACUGUUUCCCCUGCCAGGCUCCCAGGCUCCCAGGCUCCCAGACGAAGACGCGCACCAGCACCGAGGCUCUGCUGACUGACCGCUUGUCUCUUAAUUCUUGCCUGACAUAGACAUUCCCUGCCCAGGGAAGUGUUUGAUUUAUGUUGAGGUUUGAGUGUCCGGAUUUUGCUGACAGGUGGGGAAACUGCAGCGCAGAGAAGGAAAGUGAUUUGCUCAAGGUGAACGGUGGAGCUGGGACUUGAACCUGGGUCGGAAUUACUCCAGAACAUCUGGCAGCCACAAUCUGGUGUACAAACGUGCUGGAAGCCUUGUUGGUGAAGCCGUGCCUCGACGGUGAUGAGACCCAGGUCUGCCCAUCUGUCAUGACAUCUCAGACUCUUGUGGAAGGCCCACCUGAUCAUCUUCUAGUCGGACA
Lontra canadensis (Northern American river otter) is the source of this 700-nucleotide long non-coding RNA. RefSeq lists it as uncharacterized. The transcript has 3 exons. Lineage: Eukaryota; Metazoa; Chordata; Mammalia; Carnivora; Mustelidae. The record is from RefSeq and is a predicted model, not a curated record.